Molecule: RNA transcript, 2875 nt
Organism: Salvia splendens (bonfire salvia)
Lineage: Eukaryota; Viridiplantae; Streptophyta; Magnoliopsida; Lamiales; Lamiaceae
Gene name: helicase protein MOM1
Exons: 3
Source: RefSeq, a predicted model, not a curated record
GAAGAGGAUCUGUUGUAUGAUUUUCGAGUGUUCAACUGAAUGUUUUGAAUCACAGUUCUUUCAUAUGUUUUACAGAGUACUAGGAUGUGGUUCCACAUUAUUGAAAGAAGCUCAAAACUUAUAUAAUUAACCCUUUUUUUUGGUGGGGGAAGUUACUUAUGGUUUCCUAUCUAUAUAUUUCAGUUCUUUGGAUUUUAUAUCCAUCUUAUUCUAUUCCAAGGGUUUACCAUUGACAUUACAAUGAUAAAGUUGCAGAAAAUAUAGAACAACGUUUUAGAGAGUCGGGGCAAUGGGGAUGAUAGAGUUGUGCAUCCUUAUGAAGAAGAGAAAAAAUCUACCACAACUGAAUUUAUAGAGUACUGGGUUCCUGUGAGGCUAUCCAACAUACAGACAGAGCAGUAUUGUGGCUCUCUGUUUUCAAAUUCAACUCCUUUGUGCUCUUCUUAUAAGUUCGAUAACCUAAAAGUCCUUCAUGAGAUACUUGUCUCAACCAAAAAUGUAAGCAUCUUCAUUGGAAUUUGAGGCUCCAGGUUCAGAUUCAAACAACUUUUAUAGUUAUUGGCUUUAGAAUUGAUACUCAAAUGCUGAUUUUUAUGUUCUACUUUUUGUAUGUACUCAUUGUUGUCUGAUUAUUUAUAACUAUUCCUGAGGUUGUGAUAUGACAAACACUCUGUUCCAGUGCUGUGAUCACCCUUAUCUUGUGGAUCAGUCUUUGCAUACCUCUCUGAUACAAGGUAUUCCGCAAGCUGAGCAAUGGGAUGCACAAAUUAGAUUGAGUAGCAAAUUGUAUAAGGCCCUAAUGGAGAUUAACAAGCGAGGAUUAAGAGUACUUAUCAAUCUCAUAUUUCUGAUUCUUGGCCAACUAAAAGCAUUUUUUACAUUUUGAUUCUUGAGUUGUUCUACUAAGUUAUCGGUCUUUGAAUUAUAUUGCUUCUCUUAUAUGUUUCUCAGUACAUUUGAUGUAGACGGUAGACCUAUAUAAUCUUAUGAGGGAUUUUACAUACAAAUAUAUGUCUCUUGAAACACUCAAUUGAAGGUUCUGGACCAAUCACUAUAGGAGAUAUGUUGGAUGAUAUUAUUCAUGAAAAGUUUGGUGGGGAUUCAAUUGUGUGUACGUAUUGAUGGAAAUAUAGGUCGGUCGAACAGACGAGAAGUUCUUGACACUUUCAAUGAAAAAGAUGGUGGGAAAUUCGUCUUCUUGAUGGAAACUCGUGCCUGUGUUUCAAGCAUUAAACUUAAAUCCAUAGACACUGUAAUUUUCUCCAAUGAAUGACUUGAAGGCUCUACAGAAGAUCAAUCUGGAGUCCCAAUUUAAGCAGGUGAAGGUGUUCCGAUUAUAUUCAGCAUAUACUGUAGAGGAGAAGGCAUUGAUUCUUACCAAGCUAGGCAUGGCUCCAGUUGGCGAUGUGCGCCAUAUAAGGCAACGUACAUGCCACAAGUUGCUAACCUGGGGUGCCUACUAUUCAUUUGACAAGCUUCAAGAGUUCCAUGCAGUCAGAGAUACUACAAUUGAUUCUUAUGGAAACUGGUUUGUGGAAGAUGUUUUCCACGAGCUGUCAAACCUAUUACCUAACAAUGACAAGAGUAAUGUUGUUGAUGUCCAAAGCUCAACAAUUUUGAAAGUACAGCAGAUUGGAGGUGUUUACCCCACCGAUAUAUCUUUGUUAGGUGAAUUAGGGUAUCCUCUCAUGGACAACAUUUCAGUGAUUGAGGAGAUGUUAACCAAAGAACCACCCUACAUUUUCUGGAUAAAUAUACUCCAAGGGAGGACGCCUAGCUGGAAGUACUUUUCUUAUAAAUCACCUAGGACUAGGAAAGGUGUUCAAUUGCUUGAUUAUUCACCCGAGGAAUGUGGUGGACCUACCAAGAAAUGCAGGACAACGGCCGGAACCAUUGCUUGCCGAACUUCAGUUGCCUUGUGUUGAUCCUGAUUAAAGUGAUCACCAACUGAAAUCAGAAUCUUCUUUGCAACAUUGUGCAGGAGCCCCCACGCAAAGAGCUCCAAUUGUAAGAGCACGAGAAACCUGCCCAGGAACUCAUAUUGAGGUAUUUCAAUCUGUCUGUAAUGCUCUACAGACGGAGUUGUAAAAACUAGAGAAAUGCAAAACUGAAUCUUCAAAACAGCACAAAGAUAUGGUUUGUCAUCCAAACUCCACAUUUAGAGCCACAUCACAAGUAUUAGCUUGUUUAACUCACAUAACAGUUGGGCCUCCAAUGAUCAACCUGCAAUCGAGAUUGGCAUACGAGAGAGAGGUUGAUGAGAUACACAAGAAGUAUGAGGCAAUGCUUCAGACUGCUGAGGUGGCUUUUCUGGAGGAGAAAAAAGCCAUUGACAGUAGAUACAACAAAAUAUUCGUCAGUAAGGCAUUUGUCGAGGCAUUGAUGCAGACGGAUAACAAAAGUGCACCUCACACGCAAGUUUUGGCAACAAAGUUUUCAGUGGAGCAGGCACAUCGACUCAUUUUUGAUAGGCUUCAAUCAAGAGCUGAACAUAGGUCAGCAACAUCCAGCUGCUCAGAUCUCCACCAUCAUCAAGCGAGUGGUCUGAGGGCGCCUGCGCCACAUUUGAGGCUUUCUCCGGCUUGCACGGUUCCAACACUACCGUCUGAGCCCCCAAGGACAACCUUUUCGCCAGUUAGCCUUGAGCAGGUGACAUUCCCCUUAACGCCGUAAAAGAAACCUUUAUCGUUAUUUCAGGCAGCUAUACGACUUGCUGAGAUGCCAACAAAACCGAAAAGGAGAUCCACACGUGUACAUACAUAGCCUCUCUUUUUUUGCUUUAAGUUGGGAGAGGACAGGCAGAAAAAACCAAUAUGUUUUUGCAUUAAACACCAAUUUGUUGGUAUUUGAUGAACUAAAUAUGAUAUCCAACAUA